GACAGAGGGUGCAAACGUUGUUCGGAAUUACUGGGCGUAAAGCGCGUGUAGGCGGCCCUGCAAGUCGGGUGUGAAAUCCCACGGCUCAACCGUGGAAGUGCAUUCGAAACUGCAGGGCUAGAGUCCUGGAGAGGAAGGUGGAAUUCCUGGUGUAGCGGUGAAAUGCGCAGAUAUCAGGAAGAACACCCGUGGCGAAAGCGGCUCUCUGGAACGGUACUGACGCUGAGACGCGAAAGCGUGGGGAGCGAACAGG
This 253-nucleotide ribosomal RNA is filed under the name uncultured bacterium. RNAcentral's name for it is "partial 16S ribosomal RNA". It matches the Rfam family "Bacterial small subunit ribosomal RNA", at positions 524 to 776 of the family's 1533-position model. The record is from RNAcentral.